CUGUGUAUAAUUCUGGUGAAUAGUUUAGAGUUAUAGAGAUUGUAAUUUUGUAGGAUUGCAGGAAUGUUUUAGAGCCAUUAAACAUUAGUUUGAUGUUUAACAAGUUAGCCUUCAAAUUGAUGAUUCAUAUUAGGGAAUUCUUGAAAGUUGCUCUAGCAGUAACGUUUGGUGCUUUGUAAUUCAUGGAAAAUUCUUGUAUCAUGAAAAUUGAUGAACUAAGAAAUUGAAGGUUUGAGCCUUUUGAAUGUGUUCUAUCCAUGAAUAUUUGCAUCUGUGAUGCGAAACACCCAAGCUGUAUUCUUGAAAAAUAAUGCCUAAUUUAGUUAGUUACUGAUGAAUGCAUACAUAGUUAGAGCUAUGGCUGUGCUGAUGUUUUAUGGCGUAUUUGUCGUGGCAAGAAGAGCAUAAAUCGUGAUGGUAAAGUUCACAAGCUCACUUUGAGAUUAGUAGAUUUAUAUUUAUAGCUUUUGAUUUCUCACAAUGAGGUAGAAUAAGAAAUUGGCUGUGGUUUCUGUUUGAAUAGGAUCACUAACCAAUUUCUCAUUGAAGAUCAAGCUGUGAUCAUUAUGGCAUGGUGUUGAGCCUCUCUAACAUAUCUCCAUAUAUCAAAGAUGGCCGAUGAAAGUAUUUAACAUGACUUAGUGUUGGAUGAAGAUUGAAGGCAUGAUUUUCUGUUUGUUUCAGUAACAUCAUUGAUUGGAUAAAGAAAUGCACAUUACAGUCUCAUCUCAUUAUAUAGCAUAUACUGUUUAUGUUUAUCGUAGUCGUGCUAUGCAUUUCCUAGCAAGAGCAGAAGUCCGCGCCUGCUUUGGUGCAAGUCCAGACAUAUGAGGUGCAGAUCAUCAACUCUGCCUUAACGGUAUCUCAAAAUUCUCUCUCUUCUGGAUUUAUGGAUAACUGAAAUUGGAUUGUGAAGUUUACUUGUCCGUUGCUGCUUAUAUCUUGGUAGUGUGUUUUUCUAUCAAGAAUCAGAUUCUAUCUUGUAUAUCCUUGCUUCAAUUUUAGAAAAAACUGCAUGAAAAACAGACUAUGAAUAUCCUUGCUUCAGAUUUAAUAUGUACUUAUAUUUCAUGAUCUUAUUUAAUGCAAGGAAAAGAUGUUUCUCAUUUGCUUGGGGCUGCUACCUACUCUAGCUGUAUAUGCAUUGUUUUGAAUUCAUGAUUUCUAAUCUCAUUUGCCUUUUUCCUAUCUCACACUUUGGCCUUUCAUUGUCUUCUUGUCAUCAUCUACGCGUAUAGGAAUAUUAUACUGAAAACGACAUUUAUGGAUAUGCAUGAAUCUGAGUGGUAUACUGGAUGGAACUGAACUAUCGAUCUUUUUGAAGCAUGGUGGUGAGUACCACCACAACGUGUCGUCGGUGGGGGUUCGAGUCUUCUAGAUGCUAUAUUCAGUGUAUCGUCCAUCAUCCAUCGACACAUUUAGUAUGUGUCGGUGGAUGAUGUAUUUUAAUUACACGAGGUAUAUUUCGAUAUACUAGUGUCCCACAAUUUUAUGUACCACUAUUUCUCACUCUUAUAUCUAUUAUUUUAAUAAUAUUUUUUUUAUAAAAACAAAACUUUUAAUAAUACUAUGAAUUAUAUUUAAUUUUUAUUUCAAAAAAUUAUAUACAAUAAAUUUUAAUUUAUCAACCUAUUAUUGGUUAAUAUAAGUGAAAUUAAAUGAAAAAAUAAUUAUAUACUGUAAUUAGAUGGGAUAAAUUCUAAUUAAUAAUCACAAAAUUAAACUAAAGCAUACACAGUUGAAACUAAAGAAAACAUAUAUAAGAAAAUAAAUAAAAUUAAAAAUAGGACACAAAGUGAAAUAUUAAAUGUGAUACAUUGCAUCUCAAUUUGUAUAUUCCACCUAGUGAAACUGUUAUAAAUAAAACCCAUGCCAUACUCAUAAUAUUUUAUUUCAAAUUGCAUUAUAUUUUCUUAUGCAUGCUAUAGUUUAAGACAUCCUUAUUCAUAUGUGUUAUCUUCUGAUAUUGUUUGAGUUUUGAUAAUAUUGAAAAUAAAAGAUUCUCUCUGUCUGAGAAUUGUUGCUUCACUGCUUGCACAUGGUUGUGGGUGCUCUCCCUCCACCCUCGAUAGUGCGCUUUAUUUCUAAUAUAAAUCUUCCACUUUGCAUCAUGGAAUAUGUUAUAUAGUAAUGUGCUAUAAAUGCUUAAAUCAAAUAAAUGGAACUCUUGUUUGUGAUAUCAAUUUUUUGAAAAUCGGGAUUAUGAUUACAUAUUCAAUGAUUAGCAUUGAUAUAUAAAUACACAAACACGUGCUAAAUUAAAAUUCUCGUUUGACAAAGUUGACUAAGAGCAUCCACAUCAGAUCUUUUAAAAGUAAUCUUAAUUUUAAAUUUGAGCUAAAAUAAUAAAAAGUAAAAUAAAAUGAUCAUCCAAUAGAUCACCUAUAUUAAGUUGGGCCCAUAAAAAAAUUUACACUCCCUCAAAUCUAAUCCUAAAUUUAUAAAAUAGAUAAUGAAAAAUAGGAGAGUUUUUUUGUGCAAUUGUAAAAUAGGGAUUAAAAAUAAUUUAAGAAAGACUUUGUGAGUAUUUUUAGAAGUAAAAUUUUGAGAGAUCUGCUAUGAACUACGAACAUAUGUGAAAUCCUAGUUGACAAAGUUGACUACGAGCAAGUAAAUCAACGAAUAGUUAGCCUCCACGUGGCGAGGCAAUACGCAAUUCUGCUCUAGCAACACCAUAUCUUUUUUGUUUGUGCGCGUUAUUUUCCUCUAAAAUGAUUUGCACUAUUCUCCCUCAAAAUAAAUAAAUGAAUUUCUUUCACUAUUAAUCAAGACCACAAAAGAAACUUUUAUUGAGGGUCAACAAAUCUCCCGAUUACAAAUACCAUCAUCCACUUAAAUUGACUUAUGCAAUAAUUUUUUUGUCUCCUAUGUAGAAUUUUAAUUAGAAAUCAUUAAACCUUUAUUAUUUUAUUUUUAAAAUUUUCAAUUGAAAUUAUUAACCAUAAUUAUAAUUAUAAUUUAAUUAAGAAGGAGGCACCUAAUUAAGCGCAGCUAGUCUAAUCGAGAUCUGAUAAAACUGCAACGUUAUUUUAUAUAAUAUGAAACUAUGUCAAAAUUAAAGCUUGUAUCAUCAUCGCCAAAACUCUGAUAAUUCCAUAUCUGAUAACACUCUGCAUUUUUGAACUAGAAACUAUCAUCUAAGAAGCCUAAAUGAGUCAUGAUGUUUUCCCAGGUAAGAAAUUCAUGCAAAUGGGAGGAUUGAUCUUUGCCAACGCUAGAAUGCAAGAAGGCAAAAUCCA
This 3239-nucleotide long non-coding RNA is filed under the name Salvia miltiorrhiza (redroot sage). RNAcentral describes it as "long non-coding RNA (SMIL_LNC004798)". Lineage: Eukaryota; Viridiplantae; Streptophyta; Magnoliopsida; Lamiales; Lamiaceae. The record is from RNAcentral.